This 87-nucleotide non-coding RNA is filed under the name Clostridium chromiireducens. Its description in RNAcentral is "Glycine sequence". It matches the Rfam family "Glycine riboswitch aptamer". Rfam says of the family: This family represents the bacterial glycine riboswitch. Glycine riboswitches usually consist of two metabolite-binding aptamers domains with similar structures in tandem. The record is from Rfam by way of RNAcentral. Lineage: Bacteria; Bacillati; Bacillota; Clostridia; Eubacteriales; Clostridiaceae.
AUAACGAAUUGGGGAGAGCCUGCAACACACGCAGCGCCGAAGGUGAAGUCGCAACAAACUCUCAGGCAAAAGGACCGAAUUCUGACG